GGAGUUGUGGCUCCGUGGUAGAGUGCUCGCCUGGCAUGCGUGAGGCCCUCGGUUUGAUCCGCAGCGCCG
Molecule: transfer RNA, 69 nt
Filed under: Marmota monax (woodchuck)
Lineage: Eukaryota; Metazoa; Chordata; Mammalia; Rodentia; Sciuridae
Rfam family: tRNA
About the family: Transfer RNA (tRNA) molecules are approximately 80 nucleotides in length. Their secondary structure includes four short double-helical elements and three loops (D, anti-codon, and T loops).
Source: Rfam by way of RNAcentral